RNAcentral lists this ribosomal RNA (292 nucleotides) under uncultured bacterium. Its description in RNAcentral is "partial 16S ribosomal RNA". It matches the Rfam family "Bacterial small subunit ribosomal RNA", at positions 505 to 796 of the family's 1533-position model. The record is from RNAcentral.
GUGUCAGCAGCCGCGGUAAUACGGAGGGUGCAAGCGUUAUCCGGAUUUACUGGGUUUAAAGGGUGCGUAGGCGGAUAGGUAAGUCAGGGGUGAAAUCUUCGAGCUUAACUCGGAAACUGCCUUUGAUACUAUUUAUCUUGAAUAUUGUGGAGGUAAGCGGAAUAUGUCAUGUAGCGGUGAAAUGCUUAGAUAUGACAUAGAACACCCAUUGCGAAGGCAGCUUACUACGCAUAUAUUGACGCUGAGGCACGAAAGCGUGGGGAUCAAACAGGAUUAGAUACCCUGGUAGUCC